AAGAAAGAUUAAAAGAGCUGAACAGGAAGAGCUCCAGAAACGAUGUUCUUGGGGGGGAACUUGGGGACCAUCUACUUAUAUCGGAAGGUUGUAAACCGUCAGCGGGGCAAGAAUUAUUUUGGUGAGACUUAAGAAAUAUAACAAAGAGUAAUGAAAAGAAAUAUAUAACAAUAAUGGACUGUAAUUUUAUACCUAUUCCAUCCCAGGAAACCUCAAAACAUUUUAUGGCUUAGGAUAAUAGACGCAGUACAGUGGGGGUGCGUCCAGACUGCAAAGUGGCUGGUAAUUUUGCUAAAGCCCUUGCAAAAAUAAUAUUUAGUGAGAGGGUAAUGGGCACUUGGUGGGGAAAGAGUGGGGGUCUGGCUUGGCUCUGCAGCCGGCCCCCCUCCCAGGGGCAGUGGAGGUGGGGACGAGUCUUGUUUUGGUUAAGUCGGACCACUUAGAAAGCUUCCUGCUGCCAUGCUCAGAGGUACACACAAUUCAAACCCCAUUAAAAAAAAAAGGCAGAAGACUAGCAUGUAAGCCUUUUAUGGACAAGGACUUCGCUGUUCUAGUCACUCCUGCCUUACCUGCAGCAGCCAGAUCACUUCCUGGCCCCCCACAGCAGAGGCUCAGUAAACGUUACCUAAGUGAGUUUCCUCAAUGAGUCUUGAUUGUCUCAGAAUAAGGGAAACUUACAAAUUGCUUGUGUGCUUUAUGUCUGCAGCCUGUUUUUAAUCUCUUAGAAUUCUGAUCCUGUCAAUGGUCCUGUGGGAUCCACGAGUGGUCUUCUCCCUGGUUUACUGAUGGGGAAACUGAGGCACAACAUUAUAACCCGAGACCCCUUCACACCGCAGGAGGCCAGUUCAAACCCGGAGCUCCUGAGUUUUCAGACCGUUCUUGGGAGCCCUUGAGUAUCAUCUCCCGCCAGGGUCCAAGUUCUAUGUCUCUAAGCUCCCUGCCUCCCGCAUUGCAUGAACUUGGAGGAAGUCGUGAGGAGAUUAGAAAGAAACUCUUCACAUGGACUUGGUCUUCCAACGGUCUCAGAGUCUGCGUGGGGCUGAGACCCACACCCUAAUGUUCUCAAAGAGAGAAGUUCCUCCUCCAUUUGCACAGAGAUCCUGUGUGAUCUGCAUGUCACAAGUCACGGUCACUCGUCCACUUGGAACACGCCCAGGAAAGACAUAAAUCCGGGGAUGGGAAAUGCACGGUUCCUGCGGUGUUUGGAGUCAUGGGUGGAUUGAUGAUUCUAAUGGAGCACGACAUGUCCGAUUGGUUCCUGUGAAAAGGAUUCUUUUGAGGGUCUCUUCAUCAAGCCCUAAUUUGCGAAUGUGUAAGUUGAUCUAUAAGAUUUGACGGGCUUUUG
This 1345-nucleotide long non-coding RNA is filed under the name Mustela putorius furo (domestic ferret). Its description in RNAcentral is "lncRNA (ENSMPUG00000023903.1)". The record is from RNAcentral. Lineage: Eukaryota; Metazoa; Chordata; Mammalia; Carnivora; Mustelidae.